This 497-nucleotide ribosomal RNA is filed under the name uncultured bacterium. RNAcentral describes it as "partial 16S ribosomal RNA". It matches the Rfam family "Bacterial small subunit ribosomal RNA", at positions 28 to 507 of the family's 1533-position model. The record is from RNAcentral.
GACGAACGCUGGCGGCGUGCCUAAUACAUGCAAGUAGAACGCUGAAGAGAGGAGCUUGCUCUUCUUGGAUGAGUUGCGAACGGGUGAGUAACGCGUAGGUAACCUGCCUUGUAGCGGGGGAUAACUAUUGGAAACGAUAGCUAAUACCGCAUAACAAUGGAUGACACAUGUCAUUUAUUUGAAAGGGGCAAUUGCUCCACUACAAGAUGGACCUGCGUUGUAUUAGCUAGUAGGUGAGGUAAUGGCUCACCUAGGCGACGAUACAUAGCCGACCUGAGAGGGUGAUCGGCCACGCUGGGACUGAGACACGGCCCAGACUCCUACGGGAGGCAGCAGUAGGGAAUCUUCGGCAAUGGGGGCAACCCUGACCGAGCAACGCCGCGUGAGUGAAGAAGGUUUUCGGAUCGUAAAGCUCUGUUGUAAGUCAAGAACGGGUGUGAGAGUGGAAAGUUCACACUGUGACGGUAGCUUACCAGAAAGGGACGGCUAACUACGUG